Molecule: long non-coding RNA, 220 nt
Organism: Dromaius novaehollandiae (emu)
Lineage: Eukaryota; Metazoa; Chordata; Aves; Casuariiformes; Dromaiidae
Source: Ensembl
CAAGCAGAGAUAAGUGCUCCCGAGAUUAAUAAACGAAAAUAGCCCCCCGACAGUCUUCCCAGCACAGGAUCACGAUUUGUCCUUUGCCUCGUCUCGGRGGGUGCAAGGCUGAAUUGUGCAGCCACAACACUGACACGUUGCUCGCAUUGUAAGGAAUCACAAGGAGUUUCUUCAGAGCUGUAAGUGGUGGUGAAACGUCUAACUAGAUGCCCAGCUGCCA